AGCAGCCGCGGUAAUUCCAGCUCCAAUAGCGUAUAUUAAAGUUGUUGCAGUUAAAAGCUCGUAGUUGAAUUUCGGGAUCAGUUGGUCGGUCGUGCCUCGGUACGUACUGGUCAAAUUGAUUCCUACCUUCUGACGAACCACGAUGUCAUUAAUUUGGUGUCGCGGGAAAUCAGGACUGUUACUUUGAAAAAUUAGAGUGUUUAAAGCAGGCUCGCGCUUGAAUACAUUAGCAUGGAAUAAUGAAAUAGGACGUUUGAUUCUAUUUUGUUGGUUUCUAGGAUCGACGUAAUGAUUAAUAGGGAUAGUUGGGGGCAUUAGUAUUCAAUUGUCAGAGGUGAAAUUCUUGGAUUUAUUGAAGACUAACUACUGCGAAAGCAUUUGCCAAGGAUGUUUUCAUUAAUCAAGAACGAAAGUUAGGGAUCGAAGACGAUCAGAUACCGUCGUAGUCUUAACCAUAAACUAUGCCGACUAGGGAUCGGAUGAUGUUAAUUUUUAAUGACUCAUUCGGCGCCUUAAC
This 517-nucleotide unclassified non-coding RNA is filed under the name uncultured Glomus. Its description in RNAcentral is "SSU rRNA". It matches the Rfam family "Eukaryotic small subunit ribosomal RNA", at positions 569 to 1092 of the family's 1831-position model. The record is from RNAcentral. Lineage: Eukaryota; Fungi; Glomeromycota; Glomeromycetes; Glomerales; Glomeraceae.